Molecule: ribosomal RNA, 2862 nt
Filed under: Anaerolineaceae bacterium 4572_78
Lineage: Bacteria; Bacillati; Chloroflexota; Anaerolineae; Anaerolineales; Anaerolineaceae
Description: bacterial LSU rRNA
Rfam family: Bacterial large subunit ribosomal RNA (bases 2-2149)
Source: RNAcentral
AUAAGCGAGUAAGGGCACAUAGAGAAUGCCUAGGUACCAAGAGCCGAAGAAGGACGUGGUUGACUGCGAAAAGCUUCGAGGAGUCGUCAGCAGGCGUUAUAACUCGAAGAUAUCCGAAUGGGGAAACCCGGCAGAGCUAAUCCUCUGUCAUCCUUAGUUGAAUACAUAGGCUAAGGAAGGUAAGCGGGUGAACUGAAACAUCUAAGUAACCCGAGGAAAAGAAAGUAUUCUGUGAGUAGUGGCGAGCGAAAGCGGAACAGCCCAAACCGGGUGGUACGCCACCUGGGGUUGUAGGACUUCGCAUGUGGAGUGAUAAAUUGGUUAAUUAGCAGAACUCAUCUGGAAAGGUAGACCAUAGAGGGUGAUAGUCCCGUAUGUGAAAAUUAACUAACUCCGCGAAGUAUCCUGAGUACCACGGGACACGUGAAACCCUGUGGGAAUCUGGGGAGCCCACUUCCCAAGGCUAAAUACUCUUGGUGACCAAUAGUGGACAAGUACCGUGAGGGAAAGGUGAAAAGAACGGCCGUGAGCCGAGUGAAAUAGAACCUGAAACUAUGUGCCUACAAGCAGUCGAAGCACGAUACACAUGAUGUGUUAGUGUGACGGCGUGCCUUUUGGAGAAUGAACCAACGAGUUACUCCUCUGUGGCGAGGUUAAGAUAAUAACAAUCGGAGCCGUAGCGAAAGCGAGUCUGAAUAGGGCGAUGAGUCGCAGGGGGUAGACACGAAACCUGGUGAGCUAACCAUGGUCAGGUUGAAGCGAGAGUAAUGCCUCGUGGAGGACCGAACGGUUGUAUGUUGAAAAAUGCUCCGAUGAACUGUGGUUAGAGGUGAAAUGCCAAGCGAACCAGGAGAUAGCUUGUUCUCCCCGAAAUAGCUUUAGGGCUAGCGUUCGGUAAUUGCUUAUCGGAGGUAGAGCACUGGAUUGGCUAGGGGGCGAAAAGCUUACCAAACCAAACUAAACUCCGAAUGCCGAUAAGUUUAUCCGGGCAGUUGGACUGUGGGAGAUGAGUUCCAUGGUCGAAAGGGAAACAGCCCAGACCGUCAGCUAAGGUCCCCAAGUACAGGCUAAGUGGGAAAGGUUGUGAGAUUACUGAGACAUCCAGGAGGUUGGCUUAGAAGCAGCCAUCCUUUAAAGAGUGCGUAAUAGCUCACUGGUCUAGUGAUGUUGCGCCGAAAAUGUAACGGGGCUCAAGUCUGUCACCGAAGCUACGGGUUUAGAGGAAAGGAAUACGGAGUUGGAAAUUAGGAGUUAGAAGCAAUUCUAAUACCCUAAUCUCUAAUCUUUAAUUCCUGACCCUGAGCGGUAGGGGAGCGUUCUGUUAGAGAAACAAGGCAUACUGUAAAGAGUGACUGUGGCUAACAGAAGUGAGAAUGUUGGUAUGAGUAGCGAAAGAGAUGUGAGAAUCAUCUCCACCGGAAGUCUAAGGUUUCCACCGGAAGGUCAAUCCGCGGUGGGUUAGUCGGGCCUAAGCCGAGGCCGAGAGGCGUAGGCGAUGGACAACAGGUUAAUAUUCCUGUACUAGCAUUGUGGAGUGAUGGUAGGACGCAGUGAGGUAGACCAGCCAGCAGAUGGCGUUUGGUGCUGAGCGUGUAGGACAAGGAUCCGUAUAGGAAAAACCGUGCGGGGAGUCUGAGGCGUUGUAUGCGAAGACCAAAAUGGUCGCAAGUGGUUAAUCCAUGCUGCCAAGAAAAGUACCUAAACUUUGAAGCAAUGCUACCCGUACCGCAAACCGACACAGGUAGACAAGUAGAGAAUACUAAGGUGAACGAGAGAACCUUCGUUAAGGAAUUCGGCAAAAUUGAUCCGUAACUUAGGGAUAAGGAUCGCCCUUUUGAGUGAAGUCGCUUGCCGAUGGAGCUUAGGGGGGCCGCAGAGAAUAGGCCCUGUCGACUGUUUAACAAAAACACAGGUCUCUGCUAACUCGUAAGAGGAAGUAUAGGGGCUGACACCUGCCCAGUGCCGGAAGGUUAAAAGGAGGCGUUAGCGAAAGCAAAGCGUUGAAUUGAAGCCCCGGUGAACGGCGGCCGUAACUAUAACGGUCCUAAGGUAGCGAAAUUCCUUGUCGGGUGAAAGUAUCGGAAAAUGCCCGAAAUGUGAAGUGAUUCGCAUUCAGUAAACUGGCUAAUAUCGGGGAAGGCUAACUCUUGAUUGUUAUAAAUCAGAUAUGCUAAUCCCGAGGCAAUCUUACUACUACAUAAGUAGUGGGGGAGCCGUAACGACUGAUUCGAAAGAUGAGAUUUGUCUUGUAUUGUCAGGAUGAAUAAUACGCCAGCUCUUAUUUAGUAGAAGGUAUCUAUGGAUUUUGCAUCGUAUAUUACCGGGUUUACAGAUGGAGAAGGAUGCUUUUUGAUUUCAUUUAAUCAACGAGCAAAACUGAAAACUGGACUUGAAGUUCAACCGAGUUUUUCGAUUUCUCAGCAUAAGAGAAACAGGAAGAUUCUGGAAGAUAUUCAUUCGUAUUUCAAGUGUGGAGGAAUUCAUUUUUCAAAGCGGGAUCAGAAUUAUAAAUGGGAAGUUCGAAGCCUUUCGGAUAUUCUCACAAAGAUAAUUCCUCAUUUUGAAAAAUACCAACUGAAAACCAAAAAGAAAGAUGAUUUUCUUAUAUUUAGAGAAAUCUGUUUCUUAAUGAAAGAGUCGAAGCAUUUAAAUGCUAAGUAUCUCUCUGAGAUAAUAGAUAAAGCGUAUAUAAUGAAUGAAUCUGGGAAAAGGAAAUAUACAAAAUCAAAACUUCUAAGGAUAUUGAAUAAGAAGAUGAGAUAGUCUAAUCAGCCAUGAAAAUGGUCGUAAAGUUACUUUUAUAUAAAAGUAAUUCCUCAAAUGAAGUUCCGACCCGCACGAAAGGUGUAACGAACGGGGUAC